UGGACGGGGGCACCCUCCGGCCCGGCGCCCGGCGCCCGCCCGGGGCCCUGGGGGUGAGCGCCUCCGGACCGCGUUCGAGCCAUGGGCGCCCUC
This 93-nucleotide transfer RNA is filed under the name Methylobacterium soli. RNAcentral's name for it is "tRNA-Gly". The record is from RNAcentral. Lineage: Bacteria; Pseudomonadati; Pseudomonadota; Alphaproteobacteria; Hyphomicrobiales; Methylobacteriaceae.